RNAcentral lists this ribosomal RNA (548 nucleotides) under uncultured Glomus. Its description in RNAcentral is "SSU rRNA". It matches the Rfam family "Eukaryotic small subunit ribosomal RNA", at positions 548 to 1098 of the family's 1831-position model. The record is from RNAcentral. Lineage: Eukaryota; Fungi; Glomeromycota; Glomeromycetes; Glomerales; Glomeraceae.
UUGGAGGGCAAGUCUGGUGCCAGCAGCCGCGGUAAUUCCAGCUCCAAUAGCGUAUAUUAAAGUUGUUGCAGUUAAAAAGCUCGUAGUUGAAUUUCGAGAUCAAAUUGUUGGUCGUGCCUUGGUACGUACUGGCAUUAUUGAUUUCUCCCUUCUGAAGAACCACGAUGUCAUUAAUUUGGUGUCAUGGGGAAUCAGGACUGUUACUUUGAAAAAAUUAGAGUGUUUAAAGCAGGCUAACGCUUGAAUACAUUAGCAUGGAAUAAUGAAAUAGGACGUUUGAUUCUAUUUUGUUGGUUUCUAGGAUCGACGUAAUGAUUAAUAGGGAUAGUUGGGGGCAUUAGUAUUCAAUUGUCAGAGGUGAAAUUCUUGGAUUUAUUGAAGACUAACUACUGCGAAAGCAUUUGCCAAGGAUGUUUUCAUUAAUCAAGAACGAAAGUUAGGGGAUCGAAGACGAUCAGAUACCGUCGUAGUCUUAACCAUAAACUAUGCCGACUAGGGAUCGGAUGAUGUUAAUUUUUUAAUGACUCAUUCGGCGCCUUACGGGAAAC